CUAGUAUGAAUGGCACCACGAGGGUUAAACUGUCUCCUUUUUUUAAUCAGUGAAACUAAUCUCCCCGUGAAGAAGCGGGGAUUCUUUUAUAAGACGAGAAGACCCUAUGGAGCUUUAAACAAGUUAACACCUGCUACUAAUCNNUUCACUUUCCUGAACCACCACAUUAAGUAUAGCACCUCUGAUUAACAGUUUUCGAUUGGGGUGAUCAUGGAGCAAAAAUCAACCUCCACGACGAAAAGGAACACCUCCUUGAGCCAAAAGCUACAACUUUAAGCACUAAAAAACUAACGCACUUUGACCCAAUUCUUUGAGCAACGAACCAAGUUACCCUAGGGAUAACAGCGCAAUCCACUUUAAGAGCUCCUAUCGACAAGUGGGUUUACGACCUCGAUGUUGGAUCAGGGUAUCCCAGUGGUGCAGCCGCUACUAAAGGUUCGUUUGUUCAACGAUUAAAACCCUACGUGAUCUGAGUUCAGACCGGAGUAAUCCAGGUCAGUUUCUAUCUAUAAAGGGCUUUUUCUAGUACGAAAGGACCGAAAAAGCAUGGCCUAUAACCCAUCAAGCCAUAUAAAUUACUAUUGUUCCCAACUUAAAUAGAAGUAAACCUACCACUUAUCUCGAUAAAAGAGAAGUUAACGUAGCAUAACCUGGCCUUGCAG
RNAcentral lists this ribosomal RNA (662 nucleotides) under Boana raniceps (Chaco treefrog). RNAcentral's name for it is "partial 16S ribosomal RNA". It matches the Rfam family "Bacterial large subunit ribosomal RNA", at positions 1987 to 2925 of the family's 2925-position model. The record is from RNAcentral. Lineage: Eukaryota; Metazoa; Chordata; Amphibia; Anura; Hylidae.